GUCACAAAUGGAGAUGCUUGAGAAAAUAGCUGAGCUGGAUUACAGUCAGAGCCAGCUGAAGGAUCUGAAUACUGAGAUGAGACGUUGGCUGGAGUUUGCGGACGAUGACAUGGCCGUGCUGCGCUCAGAGAAUUCAGCCCUCACAAAACAAGUUAAAGCGCUGGAGAAGAUGAUGGCUGAAGCACAACAGGUUGAAGCAGAGCCUUGCAGGUCUUUCAUGGCUGAUGACCUUGAUGCAAAUAGAUGCAGAGAAAACAAGAUUCAGAAAUUGGAGAAGGAAUCCAUCAUAAUGACAGAAGAAAAUAAGAUGCUAACUGCAGAGCUCAAAGACCUCCAGCAAAAAAGAGACCAGGACAAGAUCAGCUUAAGUAAGCUCAGCGUUGCACUUCAAAACUUUGAGGUAACACAGUGAAUUCUACUUGGAGUAGUUUAAUUAUUUCUGUCUCUCCAGUCAUCUACCAGUGUUUGCAUUAGUCGCUUUAAAUGAUCCACCAGCUCCUGAUUUGUUAUGCUGUGUGCUUCUUCAGUUAGAAAAGGAAGAGGCUCAGUUAGAGCUGCAGCGUAGGGAUGAGAUUAUUCAUCAGGUAGGAACAGAGGAUCAGUACUAGGCUAUGUCAAGAUUUUUUCUCAUGUAUAGGUCUUUCUCUUUGGAGUUCAAAAUUAAGAUUUGAUGGUUGUUGAUUGAAGCAUCACAUUUUUAUCUUAUUUUGAUAGAGAAACUUGCAGUUAAAGCAUUUGAAUGAAACUGUUGAAGAGAGUGCCAACAUCAUGAAGGUAAAGAUGUUUAUCCAUUUCUAUCUAAAAGAAUAUGUGUGUGUGUGUGUGUGUGUGUGUGUGUGUGUGUGUGUGUGUGUGUGUGUGUGUGUGUGUGUGUGUGUGUGUGUGUGUGUGUGUGUGUGUGUGUGUGUGUGUGUGUGUGUGUGGAAAAGACCUCUAAACUUGCAUUGUGAUAAAGGGGAUGUUUUUAACCUUGAAAAAAUGUAGGGAAAAAGAAAACAUACACUGAAUGUCUCAAGUCCAGUGUAGAAUUUGUCUAAAAGUCAAAAGAAUUCUAAAACAAAUCAGCAUUAUUUAAGCUGUAUACAGCUGUAAUCAUGUAAUGUAACUUGUUCAUCAUACGUAACUUAACCUAAGAUAGCGCAGAAAUUAUAGAGGUACAUUCACUCAAUGCAUUGGUAAAACAACAAGUGCUAUAAAAAGCUAGUCAAUGUUGACUAGUUACACAUGUACAGUUGCCCAUUUCACCAAAUUUGAAACAUGUGCAAACUUACAUCUGAAAUGUGAUUAUUUCUGUGUGACGAUACGUGACAAUGCAUUAGUCCCAAAAGAUUUGGAAAUGGACAGCAGUAUGAAAAAAUUUAGGUACUCAUUGUGCUUAAUUUGACCUGUAAUCACUUGUUAGGCAUGUCAAGAAUUAUUAUUUUUGAAAUAAGUGUGAGAGCAUCAGAGGAAGCCAAUUAAAAAUAUCAAAGUACCACCAGCUUGCAAUUACUCUGAUCUAAAAUGUCAUUAAAAAUGGGAAGCGAAGGGAAGUCUGAUAGUCAAGACGAUAUCUUGAAGACUGAAAAAAUGUUCAGAUAAAACUGCGUCUCUCCCGACCAGAAAGGAAAACAAGCCCCUUUCUAACUGCAUGGAUGCUGCUGAAAAGUUCAGCUGACACAUGAAUGGUGGUGCCCUGUUCCACUUGGUAGAACUGAUGCACAAACCAGAACUGCAUAGGAGAUUAAUCUGAAAGAACCCUUAUUUGCAACCUCUUCACAAAAUCUGACGUCUCUGUCAGUAAUAUACCCCAUCCGUUUAGGAAACAAUUGAACUCUUUAGCUGCAGUCAUCAAAGUUAUGUUUGGAGAUAAAAGUAACAGCAUGAAAAGAACGCUUUAACAACUGCAAGUGAAAAUGUUAUUCUGUGAGGUUGUGUGGCAGCCACUCGCACAAGUAGAACGAAGAAUGAAUCCCACUAAAUAUCUGCAAAUUCUGCAUGCAAAUGUUCAUCACGAAAGUGAAACUGAAAAGAGGAGAGUUUCUACAGCAGGGCAUUGAUCCAAAUCUGACAUUAAAAUCCACUUUAGGGAAUGUGAGCUGAAGGUUACCUCUCAUGACUAGAACAUCAUUGAAAAUCCGUGGGGAGAUCUUAAACGUGUUAUGCCUGCAAGACAACCUAGUAACAUCUCAGACUGUGAUCUGCACAGAAGAGUGGGUGAAAAUUGCUAAAUCAAUAAUAGAAAGGCUCUUAGCUGCUAUGAAGAGUGUUUGCUGCGGUAUCUGUCAAAGAGGGCCUUUGUAAGUGCUAACUGAACUUAUUCACAUUUGCUGCAUGAGUUUCAUUUUGAAGUUCUUGACAUAAAACAUCAAAGUGUGUUAACGUUUGCAGAAAGGCAGAUUAAUUCUUUUUUUUUUUGAUGCAGUGGUCAUGUUUACUUACUUUCCCUUAGAUCAUCAAACUAAAUAUGUAAUUUGCCCAGGGGAACAUAAAGUUUUGCAUUCUAUUGUGUCUGCAGUGCAAUAGUGGUAGUCAGUUGUAAAAUGUGAUUUUGCCCCCACUUGUAAUCUGUGCAUAAACAGUGCUCUGCAAUCGUUUGUGAAACUAGCCCCUGGCAACAAACCAACAUUGUCUCUGUUUACAUGCACUGCAUUCAUUCCUGUUUCUGUGCUCCAGGACCUCAGGCUGACAAACCAGGAGCUGAGGAAGCAGAUAGAGGGCAGACGAGACGAGGCCUAUUUGUAAACCUGACACACAGAUCUUCUUGCUUCAAAUAAAUGAGGAAGGUGAAGCUGAGGAGCUGCUGAAACCUCGUAGUGUCACAGCUGACUUUCAGACCAAAAGAUGUGCAGAUACUUCAAAGACAUCCGUCCAGAAAACAGGGCUGUUCACUGUGUGCAUCUUCAUUCUCACUGUUUUGGCCUUCUUGGCUUCAGGAAGUUGUUCAGGAAACGGUGACUUUUUUUCUAUCAACUCAUUGUGGAACAGUGCGUGCCUGAUGUUUCAUCCCUACUGCCGCAUCCACUACGGGGCCUUACCUCCCAUUUGACCUAAACACUCCCUCUCAUAAACAUGUCACGACUCUAUUAAUGUGCCUGAUUGUGGGUUGCUUUUGUGGUUGGCUUUGUUUUGUACACACAAGAAUGAAGGUUUUAUUUAAAAUACUUGAAUUUCUACAUGUGACUAGUUUGGCAAACUACAUUAACUAACCAGAGAAUAAUAAAAUGUCAAAUGACUAGUGACCAAUGUUCCCUCUAAUUUUCCAUGAGUCUGAGCAAACACACAAACUCCCUGAGCGUCCCUUGGACCACUGUGAGCAACAUCAGACGUGUGCACUGUGGUCACACCAGCAUCACAUCCAUUCAAG
Molecule: long non-coding RNA, 3346 nt
Organism: Amphiprion ocellaris (clown anemonefish)
Lineage: Eukaryota; Metazoa; Chordata; Actinopteri; Pomacentridae
Source: Ensembl